This 253-nucleotide ribosomal RNA is filed under the name uncultured bacterium. Its description in RNAcentral is "partial 16S ribosomal RNA". It matches the Rfam family "Bacterial small subunit ribosomal RNA", at positions 524 to 776 of the family's 1533-position model. The record is from RNAcentral.
UACAGAGGUGGCAAGCGUUGUUCGGAAUUACUGGGCGUAAAGGGCGAGUAGGUGGCCAUCUAAGUCAGACGUGAAAUCCCCCGGCUUAACCUGGAAAUUGCGUUUAAUACUGUCGAACUAGAGUGUGGAAGAGGCUACUAGAAUUCCGUGUGUAGCGGUGAAAUGCGUAGAUAUACGGAGGAAUACCUGCGGCGAAGGCGGGUUGCUGGGCUGAUACUGACGCUGAGGCGCGAAAGCCAGGGGAGCGAACGGG